AUGGUUUUUCGAAGCCAGGGCCGGCGGCGGCUCCCGGGAAGGCCGCAGAGUCCGAGGAACCAACCCUUGGAGCGCGGCUGUGGCUGCGCCUGCCCCCUUCAGCCUUCCGGAGAGGCUGGGCUGCUGCGGGGAUCAGUCCUGGGCGGAGUCUGGAGGGCGGAAGCACCCGCUCGGGAGAAUGCAGCGCCCCCGGACCCGGCACCACUGAAUGAAGCCUUGCGGGAAGGGCUGUAACCGAGGCGCUUGCGAGGCUCGCCUCCGUGUGGGGUGGCUCAAACGGCUGCGAGCGAAGGACAAAUCACACCUCCUUUGUCUAGCACUUGGGGAGGAGAAAAAGUCCUCGGUAUUGAUGAAUUUUGGUGAAUCUUCCGGGUACAGCAACUUCUUUCUUUAAGAACUCAAGCUGCAAAUUUUAAAAACAUUUUUGUUUUUGAAACAUGUAUUCGUUUCAUUGACCCUGAUGUGGCAGGCUCUUGGUCCUCGUUGCUGAGGCUCUUUCGCUGUUUCAGCUCAGGACCUCUAAGGUGUGCGGGACUCCUCGGCUACCCUCAUCUGCCCGCCUCUCCGCCCCACCCCACCCCACCACCUGUUUGUCAGCUCAGGCUCGCUCUGCUGUUGCACCCAUCGCUAUCUCUUGAGGCCUUUUUCUCUAUUUUACUGUCUUUAAUUGUAUAGGGCCAGGGAGCCAGUGUCAAACUUCUCAGAAUUGAUUAGAAAUAACACUAAUAAAUAGCCCAAGAAGGCCGGGAACGGUGGCUCACACCUGUAAUCCCAGCUCUUUGGGAGGCUAAGGCGAGUGGAUCACCUGAGGUCAGGAGUUCAAGACCAGCCUGGCCAACAUGGUGAAACUCCGUCUCUACUAAAAAUACAAAAAUUAGCCGGGCAUGGUGGCAGGUGCCUGUAAUCCCAGCUACUCGGGAGGCUGAGGCAGGAGAAUCGCUUGAACCUGGGAGGCGGAGGUAGCAGUGAGCGGAGAUCGUGCCACUGCGCUCCAGCCUGGGUGACAAAGUGUGACUCUAUCUCAAAUAAAUAAAUAGCCCAAGAAAUCCUCAUAUGAAUAUGUCAAGGCUGAGCUCUUGUACAUUGAUUUUUAAAACCAUUCAAAUACCUUUUGAAAAUUAUCAUUCUUUAAAUUGUGGCAAAAUACACAUAACAUAAAAUUUACCACCUUGAUUUUUUUUUUUUUUUUGAGACAGAGUACCUCCUGGGCUGGAGUACAGUGGCAUGAUCUCUGCAAUCUUGGUUCACUGCAACCUCCACCUCCCAGGUUCAAGUGAUUCUCCUGCCUCAGCCUCCCAAGUAGCUGGGACUACAGGUGCACGCUACCACAGCCAGCUAAUUUUUGUAUUUUUUUAGUAGAGACAGGGUUUCACCAUGUUGACCAGGCUGGUCUCGAACUCCUGACCUCAAGUGGUCCACCCGCCUCGGCCUCCCAAAGUGCUGGGAUUACAGUCAUGAGCCACCGCACCUGGACAAUCUUGACCAUUUUUCACUAUACAGUUCAGAGGCAUUAAGACAGUUCACAUUGUUGUGCAAUCAUCAGCACCAUCCAUCUCUGGAACUUUCAUCUUGCAAAACUGAAACCCCAUGCCCAUUAAACACUUUUCUAUUCUCUUCUCCCCACAGUCCCUGCCAACCACCAUUCUGCUUUAUGUCUCUAUGAAUAUGCCAACUGUAUGUACCUCAUGCAGAUAGAAUCACACAGUUUUUGACUUUUCGUGACUGGCUUAUUUCAUUUAACAUACCGUUCUAAU
This 1754-nucleotide long non-coding RNA is filed under the name Papio anubis (olive baboon). RNAcentral's name for it is "lncRNA (ENSPANG00000040609.1)". The record is from RNAcentral. Lineage: Eukaryota; Metazoa; Chordata; Mammalia; Primates; Cercopithecidae.